RNAcentral lists this ribosomal RNA (492 nucleotides) under uncultured bacterium. Its description in RNAcentral is "partial 16S ribosomal RNA". It matches the Rfam family "Bacterial small subunit ribosomal RNA", at positions 29 to 507 of the family's 1533-position model. The record is from RNAcentral.
AGUGAACGCUGGCGGUAGUCCUAACACAUGCAAGUCGAACGGCAGCACAGUAAGAGCUUGCUCUUACGGGUGGCGAGUGGCGGACGGGUGAGGAAUACAUCGGAAUCUACUUUUUCGUGGGGGAUAACGUAGGGAAACUUACGCUAAUACCGCAUACGACCUACGGGUGAAAGCAGGGGAUCUUCGGACCUUGCGCGAUUGAAUGAGCCGAGGUCGGAUUAGCUAGUUGGCGGGGUAAAGGCCCACCAAGGCGACGAUCCGUAGCUGGUCUGAGAGGAUGAUCAGCCACACUGGAACUGAGACACGGUCCAGACUCCUACGGGAGGCAGCAGUGGGGAAUAUUGGACAAUGGGCGCAAGACUGAUCCAGCCAUACCGCGUGGGUGAAGAAGGCCUUCGGGUUGUAAAGCCCUUUUGUUGGGAAAGAAAAGCAGCAGGUUAAUACCCCGCUGUUCUGACGGUACCCAAAGAAUAAGCACCGGCUAACUUCGUG